Molecule: ribosomal RNA, 443 nt
Filed under: uncultured bacterium
Lineage: Bacteria
Description: partial 16S ribosomal RNA
Rfam family: Bacterial small subunit ribosomal RNA
Source: RNAcentral
CCUACGGGAGGCAGCAGUGGGGAAUAUUGGGCAAUGGGCGCAAGCCUGACCCAGCAACGCCGCGUGAAGGAAGAAGGCUUUCGGGUUGUAAACUUCUUUUCUCAGGGACGAAGCAAGUGACGGUACCUGAGGAAUAAGCCACGGCUAACUACGUGCCAGCAGCCGCGGUAAUACGUAGGUGGCAAGCGUUAUCCGGAUUUACUGGGUGUAAAGGGAGUGUAGACGGGGGUGCAAGUCUGAUGUGAAAAGCACGGGCUCAACCUGUGGCCUGCAUUUGAAACUGUGUUGCUUGAGUACUGGAGAGGCAAACGGAAUUCCUAGUGUAGCGGUGAAAUGCGUAGAUAUUAGGAGGAACACCAGUGGCGAAGGCGGGCUGCUGGACAGCAACUGACGCUGAGGCGCGAAAGCGUGGGGAGCAAACAGGAGUAGAUACCCUAGUAGUC